Myotis davidii is the source of this 506-nucleotide long non-coding RNA. RefSeq lists it as uncharacterized. The transcript is spliced from 4 exons. The record is from RefSeq and is a predicted model, not a curated record. NCBI's taxonomy places the organism in Eukaryota, Metazoa, Chordata, Mammalia, Chiroptera, Vespertilionidae.
AGAGAGAGAAGCAGAGAGUGAAAGAGCAAGACAGAGCACACGAGGUAAAGUUAAUUAACCUGGUAACUAUAUAUGGCAUAGCCCUGGGAAGGGGGUUAGAAUCCAGAGGCCACGCCAGGACUGUGCACAGGGACUGCAAUGGAAUGAAUGGGAGGCACUUCAAAGCAAGAAGUGAUGCCAUUCGUAUCUGGAAGACAAUUGAAGAUUACUGGAGUGGCUCCUAGUUAUCUCAAAGAUGGAAUUUCCUUUCCCUCUAAUAGCUUCAUCCUGGACCUAGACUAGAGGUCUAAUCUAGACUUGGAGCCCUCAGGCGAGACCCAGAAGAAACUAAAUCCCCAGAGAAGGAACCAUUCCUAUGACCAGCGCCUGCAUCUCCGAAUAAGGGAGCCACAACCUUGGACUAUCAGGCCACUGCUGCCCCCUGCUCCACCGUCUGGAAGCGUCAGCAGCAGAGGUGAUUCCCCGGAGAUGACACAAGCCUCCUUAUCUAAUAAUAGUGCUAUCUA